This 1494-nucleotide ribosomal RNA is filed under the name Rathayibacter iranicus. RNAcentral's name for it is "16S ribosomal RNA". It matches the Rfam family "Bacterial small subunit ribosomal RNA". Lineage: Bacteria; Bacillati; Actinomycetota; Actinomycetes; Micrococcales; Microbacteriaceae. The record is from RNAcentral.
AACGCUGGCGGCGUGCUUAACACAUGCAAGUCGAACGAUGAAGCCUGGCUUGCUGGGUGGAUUAGUGGCGAACGGGUGAGUAACACGUGAGUAACCUGCCCUUGACUCUGGGAUAAGCGCUGGAAACGGCGUCUAAUACCGGAUACGACCUGCCCCGGCAUCGGGUGUGGGUGGAAAGUUUUUCGGUCAAGGAUGGACUCGCGGCCUAUCAGCUUGUUGGUGAGGUAAUGGCUUACCAAGGCGACGACGGGUAGCCGGCCUGAGAGGGUGACCGGCCACACUGGGACUGAGACACGGCCCAGACUCCUACGGGAGGCAGCAGUGGGGAAUAUUGCACAAUGGGCGAAAGCCUGAUGCAGCAACGCCGCGUGGGGGAUGACGGCCUUCGGGUUGUAAACCUCUUUUAGUAGGGAAGAAGGGCUUCGGCUUGACGGUACCUGCAGAAAAAGCACCGGCUAACUACGUGCCAGCAGCCGCGGUAAUACGUAGGGUGCAAGCGUUGUCCGGAAUUAUUGGGCGUAAAGAGCUCGUAGGCGGUUUGUCGCGUCUGCUGUGAAAACCCGAGGCUCAACCUCGGGCCUGCAGUGGGUACGGGCAGACUAGAGUGCGGUAGGGGAGAAUGGAAUUCCUGGUGUAGCGGUGGAAUGCGCAGAUAUCAGGAGGAACACCGAUGGCGAAGGCAGUUCUCUGGGCCGUUACUGACGCUGAGGAGCGAAAGCGUGGGGAGCGAACAGGAUUAGAUACCCUGGUAGUCCACGCCGUAAACGUUGGGAACUAGAUGUGGGGGCCUUUCCACGGUCUCCGUGUCGCAGCUAACGCAUUAAGUUCCCCGCCUGGGGAGUACGGCCGCAAGGCUAAAACUCAAAGGAAUUGACGGGGGCCCGCACAAGCGGCGGAGCAUGCGGAUUAAUUCGAUGCAACGCGAAGAACCUUACCAAGGCUUGACAUAUACCGGAAACUUCCAGAGAUGGUUGCCCCGCAAGGUCGGUAUACAGGUGGUGCAUGGUUGUCGUCAGCUCGUGUCGUGAGAUGUUGGGUUAAGUCCCGCAACGAGCGCAACCCUCGUUCUAUGUUGCCAGCACGUGAUGGUGGGAACUCAUAGGAGACUGCCGGGGUCAACUCGGAGGAAGGUGGGGAUGACGUCAAAUCAUCAUGCCCCUUAUGUCUUGGGCUUCACGCAUGCUACAAUGGCCGGUACAAAGGGCUGCGAUACCGUAAGGUGGAGCGAAUCCCAAAAAGCCGGUCUCAGUUCGGAUUGAGGUCUGCAACUCGACCUCAUGAAGUCGGAGUCGCUAGUAAUCGCAGAUCAGCAACGCUGCGGUGAAUACGUUCCCGGGCCUUGUACACACCGCCCGUCAAGUCAUGAAAGUCGGUAACACCCGAAGCCAGUGGCCUAACCGUAAGGAGGGAGCUGUCGAAGGUGGGAUCGGUGAUUAGGACUAAGUCGUAACAAGGUAGCCGUACCGGAAGGUGCGGCUGGAUCACCUCCUUUCU